CAAAAACCGCUACUGGUUGGCGACAUGGCAUAGACGAAUGGUCAUUCCUUUGGCACCGUUCUAUCUCUCCGGAAGUGGCAGCGGUGGUCCUCUGGUUCAAGCCCCAGUUGUUCCAGUAUUACCUGGAGGACAUCUGAAAAGUUGGCCCUUGCUGUUGCAGGAAGGGUCACCACUGCCACUUUCAACUCUCCGGACAGCAAAUGCAGCAGCUGCAGUGACCACUCCAGUGCGGGCCACUGGUACGCCUUUGCUGUUGCUUGGAAGACCUCCAUGAAGGCUGGGGGUCAUAUCCCUUGUCCAUCCGGUGGAGUGUCACUGCGGGGGCCAGGGGAAGCAGUGUUGGCAAGAGACACCGAACCUCCAGUGGUUUUGUCCGGUGUUUGGCCUGGUCCUGGAGUCAGUUGAGCUGUCUGUGGUGCUCCACCGCCUGCUCCUGAUCCAGCGGUUAGCUCUGCCACCAUUCUUGCCAGUCAUCCUAUGACUGGGUUUUGGCAUCACUCAUGAAAAUAACCCGGUGCACACAGUGUUACAAGAUGAUGUUGUUCUGAUGGCUUCUUCAGGUGCUGGCCUCCAGCUCACACUGCAGUGGUUCGCGGCCAUCAGCACCGUCAGGCCAUGGUCCUCAGAUGGAAAAUGGCAAAGAGCCCACUUCGGGUCAGGGACAAGUUACUGUCCCAAGUGUAGGAGUGUUUAUCGCUCAACUGGGAGGAGAAUCCUGGGGGGAACUAGACUGUUGAGCAUCUGGAAGGACAUCCAGAAUACUUGCUGAGCCUCCUGCCACCACAGCCUGAAUUCAGAUAAAUGGAAGAUAAAGGAUGGAGGGCCCUUUAAGUCUUAUCCAGGUGCCUGAUGAGUGAAGCACUCAUUGCAUUGUUUUAAUUGACAGGUGUCGCGCAGUAGAAGACAUCGAAACAGGAAGCAGAGAAAUUGUGGAGUUUUUUCAUAAAGUGAUCUGAAUCCCUCCACUCCCUUGGUGGCAGUACUUAUUGCAAGUUCUACUUCCCCACAUCGGACUCUGUGUUCCACAAAUCUACUACUUUUUAUUCCCUAAACCUGGAGCAGACUUCAAAACUGCCAAAUAAAUAUAACAUGAAUACUGAUUAACAUAUAUAUUAACAUGUUCUCUGUUUAGCAUCUAAUAAACCUGAAAAUAAAAUUUGAUUUUGUUUCUACAAUCUGCUUUACAUUUUAUCAAUGUCCAUCUUCUGCAAGUGGAUACACUAAGAGCCUUUAUUGUGAAAGGCAGGAACAGGAAGAAGCCCUUUUUGCACAUGUGAAGAAUAAAUGAAGCUUCUGGUUUAGAUCAGGCAGCAACAACCAGAUCUCUAAGGUACUUAAGGUAAACAAUAAACAAGCUGUUUAAUUCUCUGAUUUCUGAUCAGAUCUUCUCACUAAAACAGAAAAAUCAGCAUCUGACUGAGGUC
Molecule: long non-coding RNA, 1424 nt
Organism: Astatotilapia calliptera (eastern happy)
Lineage: Eukaryota; Metazoa; Chordata; Actinopteri; Cichliformes; Cichlidae
Source: Ensembl